This 70-nucleotide transfer RNA is filed under the name Astrospartus mediterraneus. RNAcentral's name for it is "transfer RNA-Ser(AGY)". Lineage: Eukaryota; Metazoa; Echinodermata; Ophiuroidea; Euryalida; Gorgonocephalidae. The record is from RNAcentral.
GAUAGUCCCAAGGAAGUAAAAGGAAACUCUUGAUCUGCUAAAUCUAAGAGACUACAGUUUAAUUCUGUAG